GAUGAACGCUGGCGGCGUGCCUAAUACAUGCAAGUCGAGCGAACGGACGAGAAGCUUGCUUCUCUGAUGUUAGCGGCGGACGGGAGAGUAACACGUGGAUAACCUACCUAUAAGACUGGGAUAACUUCGGGAAACCGUAGCUAAUACCGGAUAAUAUUUUGAACCGCAUGGUUCAAAAGUGAAAGACGGUCUUGCUGUCACUUAUAGAUGGAUCCGCGCUGCAUUAGCUAGUUGGUAAGGUAACGGCUUACCAAGGCAACGAUGCAUAGCCGACCUGAGAGGGUGAUCGGCCACACUGGAACUGAGACACGGUCCAGACUCCUACGGGAGGCAGCAGUAGGGAAUCUUCCGCAAUGGGCGAAAGCCUGACGGAGCAACGCCGCGUGAGUGAUGAAGGUCUUCGGAUCGUAAAACUCUGUUAUUAGGGAAGAACAUAUGUGUAAGUAACUGUGCACAUCUUGACGGUACCUAAUCAGAAAGCCACGGCUAACUACGUG
This 497-nucleotide ribosomal RNA is filed under the name uncultured bacterium. Its description in RNAcentral is "partial 16S ribosomal RNA". It matches the Rfam family "Bacterial small subunit ribosomal RNA", at positions 28 to 507 of the family's 1533-position model. The record is from RNAcentral.